GGCCCAGAUCGUUUACCGUGAAAAAAUUAGAGUGUUCAAAGCAGGCAGAUCCAAUUUUCUGCCACCGAAUACAUUAGCAUGGGAUAAUGGAAUAGGACCCUGUCCUCCUAUUUUCAGUUGGUUUUGGCAGCGCGAGGACUAGGGUAAUGAUUAAUAGGGAUAGUUGGGGGCAUUAAUAUUUAAUUGUCAGAGGUGAAAUUCUUGGAUUUAUGAAAGAUUAACUUCUGCGAAAGCAUCUGCCAAGGAUGUUUUCAUUAAUCAAGAACGAAAGUUAGGGGAUCGAAGACGAUCAGAUACCGUCGUAGUCUUAACCAUAAACGAUGCCGACCAGCGAUUAGGAGACGUUGAAUACAAAACACCACCAUCGGUUGCGGUCGUCCUUGGCGUCUCGGUUUYGGCCGGGGCGCGGGGAUGGCUUAGCCCGGUGGCACCGGUGAAUGACUCCCCUAGCAGCUUGUGAGA
RNAcentral lists this ribosomal RNA (462 nucleotides) under Acanthamoeba sp. S18. RNAcentral's name for it is "SSU rRNA". It matches the Rfam family "Eukaryotic small subunit ribosomal RNA", at positions 751 to 1106 of the family's 1831-position model. The record is from RNAcentral. Lineage: Eukaryota; Discosea; Longamoebia; Acanthamoebidae.